GCAGCAGGCUCCUCCUGCGUGGUGAGCUGGUGCUCAGGCUGGCUCUCGCCUUCAGUGAUGCUCUCAGGCAGGACCACAGUGUCCAUGUCAUCCGUGUCAGUGGAGAUGUGGUCUGUGUAACAGAAAGAUCAAAAGUGAGCUAGAGGCAGCUUUGCACUCUCCAUUGUACCCCAACCUACAGAGAGGAAUUGCUCCACGUGCUGGAAUACUCACUGCUGCUGCAUCAAACAAGUGGAACGGAGCAAAGAUGAUCAUCACUUUGGACACCAAGAUAACGAUCUCCCUGUUGAAAAAUGUACGUACUGGUCAGGGAAAACAGCACAGCCUGGUCCCAAGGGAGUCUGGUUCUGACACAUUUCCCUCAGCCAGCUGCAAAGCCUGAUCCCAGCCCAUGAGACUUGAGUGGAUGGGUGCAGCUUGGGUACCACCAUGGCGGCGUCCCAGUGCCAGAAACAUCUGUGCUGCCCAGUGGGGAGGAACAUGUUUACCAGAUGGGGGUUUAUGAGCUCUGUCAGCAGCUUCUGAGCAGCUCCUCGAUGUAAAUCACACCCUCCAAGAAGGACCUGGGCUGACCUGUGCACAGCAGGGCAGUGACGCAUGAGGUCUUGGCUUGCAUCACAUCCCCUGAUCCCAAGGCAUUGCCCACUCUGACGCUCGCAGCCACGCUGAACCCCAGAGGCACCUGAGAAGCAGGAGAC
Pezoporus flaviventris is the source of this 698-nucleotide long non-coding RNA. RefSeq lists it as uncharacterized. The transcript is spliced from 3 exons. The record is from RefSeq and is a predicted model, not a curated record. NCBI's taxonomy places the organism in Eukaryota, Metazoa, Chordata, Aves, Psittaciformes, Psittacidae.